RNAcentral lists this unclassified non-coding RNA (399 nucleotides) under Hevea brasiliensis (rubber tree). Lineage: Eukaryota; Viridiplantae; Streptophyta; Magnoliopsida; Malpighiales; Euphorbiaceae. The record is from RNAcentral.
UAGGGGUACUUCUUGGAUUUAAAUUCAACCUUGGUGUACAGGGAAUAUGGUCAGGGAUGAUAGGUGGUACAUUUUUACAGACUAUUAUUUUAUUGUGGGUCACUUAUCGAACAGACUGGAAUAAAGAGGUGGAGAAUGCACAGGAUCGGUUGAACAUAUGGGAAGACAAAAAAGAGCCAUUCUUGGAGGACAAAAGAGAGCCUCUCUUGGAGGAUAAAAGAGAUGAAUCGGAGAAUUAAGUGGAUUUAUAAAUUUGAUUUCAUCUCAAUGGGUCAUCCUUGUAGUAAACAUUUUGGUUUUAUUUCAUAGGGUGAGAUGUUGUAUUUACCAGAAGGGGCAAGAGAGUCGCUUUGUUAUAUAUUAUACAUAUAAGCUUAUCCAAUGAAAAAACCAAAAAUA